GGUGGCUAUGGCGCGAGGGAUCCACCUCUUCCCAUCCCGAACAGAGAAGUUAAGCCUCGCCGCGCCGAUGGUACUGCGCAUAGUGGGAGAGUAGGUAGCCGCCG
This 104-nucleotide ribosomal RNA is filed under the name uncultured Parabacteroides sp. Lineage: Bacteria; Pseudomonadati; Bacteroidota; Bacteroidia; Bacteroidales; Tannerellaceae. The record is from RNAcentral.